AUCUAACCAAUGUGUCUGUGUCUGUGUCUAUGUCUAUGUCUGUGCACGCGUGUGUUAAACUGCAGAAUUGCACAAACUGUGGAGUAGUCGGCAGAGGAAUCACUGCGAA
This is a non-coding RNA of Brachypodium distachyon (stiff brome), 109 nucleotides long. NCBI's taxonomy places the organism in Eukaryota, Viridiplantae, Streptophyta, Magnoliopsida, Poales, Poaceae. The record is from RefSeq and is marked provisional.